AAUGUGGCGGAUUUCCCCUCUUUUGCAAUUAGUUUCGCUAAAGCACCUGCUGCUCUAGCUAAUUGUCCACCCUUUCCAAGUGUGAUUUCUAUGUUAUGCAUGGCUGUGCCUAAGGGCGUAUCGGCUGAAGUAGAUUCUUCUUUUUAAUUAAUCAAACCCUUUUUCUAUCUCAUUGGUCCUUAUUUCAGCAUAUCAUUUAUGCCGAAUUCACUAUUAUACAUAUACAUAUAUCACUAUCAAGAGUUUCUAUUAUUUCAAUCUUUCGAUUCAAAAGAAUAUAGAAACUUUAAAGACAAACGAAAAUGGGGUUGCGCCAUACAAAUAAAAGAGUAUACAAUAAUAUUGUAUAUGGUAAAUCAAAAACCAUGUUAAAAGAAUGAACCAUUCUGAUUAGUUGAUAAUUUUGUAAAAGGAUUUCUGUAAAAGGUUUCAUUAACUCCUAAAUCUCAGGGCUCAACACUCGACAAGUGGUGGGAACUACCAAGCUUAAGUAAGAUAGGGGCAGAGGGAAUUUUUGGUGGAGCGGUGAAAUGCGUAAUGAUCGGAAAGAACACCAACGACGAAAGUACUCUGCUGGCCUGACACUGAAAGAAGAAAUCUAGGGGAGCGAAUGAGAUUAGAUACCCAAGGAGUCCUAGCCAUAAACGAUGGAUACUAGGUGUUGUGUGUAUCGAUUUGUGCAGUGCUAUAGCUAAUACAUUAAGUAUCCUGCUUGGGGAGUCCUUUUGCAAGAAUGAAACUCAAAAGAAUUGACGAGGCCUGCACAAGCGGUGGAGCAUGUGGUUUAAUUUGAUGCAAAGCGAAGAACAUUACCAGAGCUUGACAUGCCGCGAAUCCUCUUGAAAGAGAGGGGUUCCUUCGGGAACACAGGCAUAGGUGGUGCAUGGUUGUCGUCAGCUCGUGUCAUAAGGUGUUAUGUUAAGUCCUGCAACGAGCGCAACCCUCGUGUUUAGUUGCCACCGUUUAGGUUGGAAUCCUGAGCAGACUACUGGUGAUAAGUCGGAGGAAGGUGAGGAUGACAUCAAGUCAUCAUGCCCCUUCUGCCUUGGGCGACACACCUGCUACAAUGGUUGGGACAAAGGGUCGUGAUCUUGUGAGGGUGAGCUAACUCCAAAAACUCGUCCUCAGUUUGGAUUGUAGGCUGCAACUCGCUUGCAUGAAGCCAGAAUCACUAGUAAUUGCCGGUCACCCAUACAACAAUGAAUUCAUUUAUGAGCCCUGUACAAACUUCCCGUCACACUAUGGGAGGGGCCCAUGCCCGAAGUCGUUACCUUAACUGCAAGGAGGGAGAUGCCGAAAGCAGAGCUAGUGAGUGGAGUGAAGUCGUCACAAGGUAGCCGUACUGGAAGGUGAGGCUA
Molecule: ribosomal RNA, 1358 nt
Filed under: Begonia fuchsioides
Lineage: Eukaryota; Viridiplantae; Streptophyta; Magnoliopsida; Cucurbitales; Begoniaceae
Description: bacterial SSU rRNA
Rfam family: Bacterial small subunit ribosomal RNA (bases 365-1358)
Source: RNAcentral